UACGUAGGUGGCAAGCGUUGUCCGGAUUGACUGGGCGUAAAGGGCGUGCAGGCGGUCUGUUAAGUUCAGGGUGAAAGCUCCCGGCUCAACUGGGAGAGGUCCUUGGAUACUGGCAGACUUGAGGGAGGUAGAGGAGAGUGGAAUUCCCGGUGUAGUGGUGAUAUGCGUAGAUAUCGGGAGGAACACCAGUGGCGAAGGCGGCUCUCUGGGCCUUUCCUGACGCUGAGACGCGAAAGCGUGGGGAGCGAACCGG
This 253-nucleotide ribosomal RNA is filed under the name uncultured bacterium. Its description in RNAcentral is "partial 16S ribosomal RNA". It matches the Rfam family "Bacterial small subunit ribosomal RNA", at positions 524 to 776 of the family's 1533-position model. The record is from RNAcentral.